Molecule: ribosomal RNA, 952 nt
Filed under: Escherichia coli
Lineage: Bacteria; Pseudomonadati; Pseudomonadota; Gammaproteobacteria; Enterobacterales; Enterobacteriaceae
Description: partial 23S ribosomal RNA
Rfam family: Bacterial large subunit ribosomal RNA
Source: RNAcentral
UGUCGGGUAAGUUCCGACCUGCACGAAUGGCGUAAUGAUGGCCAGGCUGUCUCCACCCGAGACUCAGUGAAAUUGAACUCGCUGUGAAGAUGCAGUGUACCCGCGGCAAGACGGAAAGACCCCGUGAACCUUUACUAUAGCUUGACACUGAACAUUGAGCCUUGAUGUGUAGGAUAGGUGGGAGGCUUUGAAGUGUGGACGCCAGUCUGCAUGGAGCCGACCUUGAAAUACCACCCUUUAAUGUUUGAUGUUCUAACGUUGGCCCGUUAUCCGGGUUGCGGACAGUGUCUGGUGGGUAGUUUGACUGGGGCGGUCUCCUCCUAAAGAGUAACGGAGGAGCACGAAGGUUGGCUAAUCCUGGUCGGACAUCAGGAGGUUAGUGCAAUGGCAUAAGCCAGCUUGACUGCGAGCGUGACGGCGCGAGCAGGUGCGAAAGCAGGUCAUAGUGAUCCGGUGGUUCUGAAUGGAAGGGCCAUCGCUCAACGGAUAAAAGGUACUCCGGGGAUAACAGGCUGAUACCGCCCAAGAGUUCAUAUCGACGGCGGUGUUUGGCACCUCGAUGUCGGCUCAUCACAUCCUGGGGCUGAAGUAGGUCCCAAGGGUAUGGCUGUUCGCCAUUUAAAGUGGUACGCGAGCUGGGUUUAGAACGUCGUGAGACAGUUCGGUCCCUAUCUGCCGUGGGCGCUGGAGAACUGAGGGGGGCUGCUCCUAGUACGAGAGGACCGGAGUGGACGCAUCACUGGUGUUCGGGUUGUCAUGCCAAUGGCACUGCCCGGUAGCUAAAUGCGGAAGAGAUAAGUGCUGAAAGCAUCUAAGCACGAAACUUGCCCCGAGAUGAGUUCUCCCUGACUCCCUGAGAGUCCUGAAGGAACGUUGAAGACGACGACGUUGAUAGGCCGGGUGUGUAAGCGCAGCGAUGCGUUGAGCUAACCGGUACUAAUGAACCGUGAGG